GAUGAACGCUAGCGGCAGGCCUAAUACAUGCAAGUCGAACGAUAGUCUUGUCUUCGGAUGAGAUGAGAGUGGCGCACGGGUGAGUAACGCGUACACGACCUACCUUACAGAGGGGGAUAGCCUUGGGAAACUGGGAGUAAUCCGCCAUAGUGUAUAUGAUCUGCAUGGAUGGUAUACUAAAGCUUCGGCGCUGUAAGAUGGGUGUGCGUCUGAUUAGGUAGUUGGUAGGGUAACGGCCUACCAAGCCAACGAUCAGUAGGGGGCGUGAGACGCGUGGUCCCCCACACGGGUACUGAGACACGGACCCGACUCCUACGGGAGGCAGCAGUAAGGAAUAUUGGACAAUGGGCGGAA
This 354-nucleotide ribosomal RNA is filed under the name uncultured bacterium. RNAcentral's name for it is "bacterial SSU rRNA". It matches the Rfam family "Bacterial small subunit ribosomal RNA", at positions 28 to 380 of the family's 1533-position model. The record is from RNAcentral.